RNAcentral lists this unclassified non-coding RNA (357 nucleotides) under soil metagenome. RNAcentral's name for it is "partial contains 5.8S ribosomal RNA, internal transcribed spacer 2, and large subunit ribosomal RNA". The stretch from base 1 to 120 matches the Rfam family "5.8S ribosomal RNA", at positions 35 to 154 of the family's 154-position model. The record is from RNAcentral.
GAUGAAGAACGUAGCGAAAUGCGAUAAGUAAUGUGAAUUGCAGAAUUCAGUGAAUCAUCGAAUCUUUGAACGCACAUUGCGCCCGUCAGUAUUCUGGCGGGCAUGCCUGUUCGAGCGUCAUUACGCCCCUCAAGUCCCCUGUGGACUUGGUGUUGGGGAUCGGCGAGGCUGGUUUUCCAGCACAGCCGUCCCUUAAAUUAAUUGGCGGUCUCGCCGUGGCCCUCCUCUGCGCAGUAGUAAAACACUCGCAACAGGAGCCCGGCGCGGUCCACUGCCGUAAAACCCCCCAACUUUUUAUAGUUGACCUCGAAUCAGGUAGGACUACCCGCUGAACUUAAGCAUAUCAAUAACGGAGGA